Molecule: ribosomal RNA, 449 nt
Filed under: uncultured bacterium
Lineage: Bacteria
Description: bacterial SSU rRNA
Rfam family: Bacterial small subunit ribosomal RNA
Source: RNAcentral
GACGAACGCUGGCGGCGCGCUUUAUACAUGCAAGUCGAACGUGAAGCUCGGAGCUUGCUCCGGGUGGAAAGUGGCGAACGGGUGAGUAUCACGUGAGAAACCUGCCCCGAAGACCGGGAUAACACCGGGAAACCGGUGCUAAUACCGGAUGCCCUCACCGGAUCGCAUGGUCUGGUGAGGAAAUGGAUUCCGCUUCGGGAUGGUCUCGCGGCCUAUCAGCUUGUUGGUGGGGUAANGGCCCACCAAGGCUUCGACGGGUAGCUGGUCUGAGAGGAUGUCCAGCCACACUGGGACUGAGACACGGCCCAGACUCCUACGGGAGGCAGCAGUAGGGAAUCUUGCACAAUGGACGAAAGUCUGAUGCAGCGACGCCGCGUGUGGGAUGACUGCCCUCGGGUUGUAAACCCACUUUCAGCAGGGACGAAAUUGACGGUACCUGCAGAAGAACG